Non-coding RNA from Tupaia belangeri (northern tree shrew), 68 nucleotides. NCBI's taxonomy places the organism in Eukaryota, Metazoa, Chordata, Mammalia, Scandentia, Tupaiidae. The record is from Ensembl.
GUUCUUGUAGUUGAAUCACAACGGUGGCUUUUCAUGUCACAGGUCUUGGUCAGAUCCAUGCAGGAAUU